RNAcentral lists this ribosomal RNA (750 nucleotides) under uncultured crenarchaeote. Its description in RNAcentral is "bacterial SSU rRNA". It matches the Rfam family "Archaeal small subunit ribosomal RNA", at positions 48 to 801 of the family's 1478-position model. The record is from RNAcentral. Lineage: Archaea; Thermoproteati; Thermoproteota.
GCCAUGUGGAGGUCAUUGUAGCAAUACAAGGGCAUACGGCUCAGUAACACGUAGCUCUAUCUAACCUAUGGACGUGGAUAACCUCGGGAAACUGAGAAUAAUCCGCGAUAGAUCAUAAUUCCUGGAACGGUUUAUGGUCCAAAUGAUUCGUCGCCAUAGGAUGGGACUGCGGCCUAUCAGCUUGUUGGUGAGGUAAUGGCUCACCAAGGCUAUUACAGGUACGGGCUCUGAGAGGAGAAGCCCGGAGAUGGGUACUGAGACACGGACCCAGGCCCUAUGGGGCGCAGCAGGCGAGAAACCUUUGCAAUGUGCGCAAGCACGACAAGGUUAAUCCGAGUGUUUCCUGCUAAAGGAAUCUUUUGUUAGUUCUAAAACCACUGAUGAAUAAGAGGUGGGCAAGUUCUGGUGUCAGCCGCCGCGGUAAAACCAGCACCUCAAGUGGUCAGGAGGAUUAUUGGGCCUAAAGCAUCCGUAGCCGGUUCUGUAAGUUUUCGGUUAAAUCCACUAGCUUAACUAAUGGGCUGCCGAAAAUACUGCAGAACUAGGGAGUGGGAGGGGUAGACGGUACUCGGUAGGAAGGGGUAAAAUCCUUUGAUCUAUUGAUGACCACCUGUGGCGAAGGCGGUCUACCAGAACACGUUCGACGGUGAGGGAUGAAAGCUGGGGGAGCAAACCGGAUUAGAUACCCGGGUAGUCCCAGCUGUAAACGAUGCANACUCGGUGAUGCACUGGCUUGUGGCCGUGCANUGC